CGGCUCAGGGAAGAUGGCGGCAGCCGUGGUGCUGGCUGCUGGGUUGCGCGCGGCGCGCAGAGCCGUGGCGGCCACGGGGGUGCGCGGGGGGCAGGUCCGAGGAGCUGCAGGUGUGACUGAUGGGAAUGAAGUGGCCAAGGCCCAGCAGGCAACUCCUGGGGGAGCAGCCCCAACCAUCUUCUCCCGGAUCCUGGACAAGAGCCUCCCAGCUGACAUUCUCUAUGAGGACCAGCAGGCUCCUGUGCACUUCCUGGUCAUUCCUAAGAAGCCCAUUCCUCGGAUUAGCCAGGCUGAAGAAGAAGACCAGCAGCUUCUAGGACACCUACUCCUUGUGGCCAAGCAGACAGCAAAGGCUGAGGGCCUGGGAGAUGGAUACCGACUUGUGAUCAAUGAUGGGAAGCUGGGUGCACAAUCUGUGUAUCAUCUGCACAUUCAUGUACUUGGGGGCCGGCAGCUCCAGUGGCCUCCAGGUUGAACCUGCCAACUGACUAAAGGACACCAGACUCUGGAUACUUGGAUGGAAAGGGAAAAAUGGACCCUGUGAUGCUAAUAAAACUGUUCUCCCUUAA
RNAcentral lists this small RNA (569 nucleotides) under Pan troglodytes (chimpanzee). Its description in RNAcentral is "processed transcript". The record is from RNAcentral. Lineage: Eukaryota; Metazoa; Chordata; Mammalia; Primates; Hominidae.